GAUCAUGCUCAGAUUGAACGCUGGCGGCAGGCUUAACACAUGCAAGUCGAACGGUAACAUAAAGAAGCUUGCUUCUUUGAUGACGAGUGGCGGACGGGUGAGUAAUGCUUGGGAAUCUAGCUUAUGGAGGGGGGAUAACUACGGGAAACUGUAGCUAAUACCGCGUAAUAUCGAAAGAUUAAAGUGUGGGACCUUCGGGCCACAUGCCAUAGGAUGAGCCCAAGUGGGAUUAGGUAGUUGGUG
Molecule: ribosomal RNA, 243 nt
Filed under: uncultured bacterium
Lineage: Bacteria
Description: partial 16S ribosomal RNA
Rfam family: Bacterial small subunit ribosomal RNA
Source: RNAcentral